RNAcentral lists this ribosomal RNA (421 nucleotides) under uncultured archaeon. RNAcentral describes it as "partial 16S ribosomal RNA". It matches the Rfam family "Archaeal small subunit ribosomal RNA", at positions 323 to 746 of the family's 1478-position model. The record is from RNAcentral.
CUACGGGGGGCUCCAGGCGCGAAAACUCUACAAUGCACGCAAGUGUGAUAGGGCAACCCCUCGUGCUUAUCUAACGAUAGGCUUUUGUUAUGUGUAGUAAGCAUAACGAAUAAGUGGUGGGCAAGACUGGUGCCAGCAGCCGCGGUAAUACCAGCGCCACGAGUGGAGAUCACUUUUAUUGGGUCUAAAGAGUCCGUAGCUGGUUUGGAAAGUCUCUUGUGAAAUUUCUGUAGCUUAACUCAGAAAUUGCAAGAGAUACUCCCAAACUUGAGACCGGGAGGGGUAAGAAGUAUUGUUUGGGUAGCGGUAAAAUGCUAUAAUCCUUACAGGACUAACUAAGGCGAAGGCAUCUUACUUGAACGGAUCUGACAGUGAGGGACGAGAGCUAGGGGAGCGAACCGGAUUAGAUACCCGCGUAGUC